AACGAACGCUGGCGGCAUGCCUAACACAUGCAAGUCGAACGAGACCUUCGGGUCUAGUGGCGCACGGGUGCGUAACGCGUGGGAACCUGCCCUUAGGUUCGGAAUAACUCCCCGAAAGGGGUGCUAAUACCGGAUAAUGUCUUCGGACCAAAGAUUUAUCGCCUUUGGAUGGGCCCGCGUUGGAUUAGCUAGUUGGUAGGGUAAAAGCCUACCAAGGCGACGAUCCAUAGCUGGUCUGAGAGGAUGAUCAGCCACACUGGGACUGAGACACGGCCCAGACUCCUACGGGAGGCAGCAGUGGGGAAUAUUGGAAAAGGGGCGAAAGCCUGACCCCGCAAGGCCGCGGGAGUGAUGAAGGCCUUAGGGUUGUAAAGCUCUUUUACCCGGGAUGAUAAUGACAGUACCGGGAGAAUAAGCCCCGGCUAACUCCGUG
RNAcentral lists this ribosomal RNA (433 nucleotides) under uncultured bacterium. RNAcentral's name for it is "partial 16S ribosomal RNA". It matches the Rfam family "Bacterial small subunit ribosomal RNA", at positions 29 to 507 of the family's 1533-position model. The record is from RNAcentral.